This 650-nucleotide ribosomal RNA is filed under the name uncultured bacterium. Its description in RNAcentral is "bacterial SSU rRNA". It matches the Rfam family "Bacterial small subunit ribosomal RNA", at positions 12 to 654 of the family's 1533-position model. The record is from RNAcentral.
UUUGAUUCUGGCUCAGAUUGAACGCUGGCGGCAUGGCUAACACAUGCAAGUCUAAACGGCAGCGCGGGGGCAACCCUGGCGGCGAGUGGCGGACGGGUGAGGAACACAUAGGAAUCUACCUCAACGUGGGGGAUAACGUAGGGAAACUUACGCUAAUACCGCAUACGACCGAGAGGGGAAAGCGGCGGACCGCAAGGCGUCGCGCGGUGAGAUGAGCCUAUGUCCGAUUAGCUAGUUGGCGGGGUAAGAGCCCACCAAGGCGACGAUCGGUAGCUGGUCUGAGAGGAUGAUCAGCCCCACUGGAACUGAGACACGGUCCAGACUCCCUACGGGAGGCAGCAGUGGGGAAUAUUGGACAAUGGGCGCAAGCCUGAUCCAGCAAUGCCCGCGUGGGUGAAGAAGGCCUUCGGGUUGUAAAGCCCUUUUGUACGGGAAGAAAUCCUGUCGGUUAAUACCCGGCGGGGAUGACGGUACCGUAAGAAUAAGCACCGGCUAACUUCGUGCCAGCAGCCGCGGUAAUACGAAGGGUGCAAGCGUUAAUCGGAAUUACUGGGCGUAAAGCGUGCGUAGGCGGUUCGUUAAGUCUGUCGUGAAAGCCCUGGGCUCAACCUGGGAAUGGCGAUGGAUACUGGCGAGCUAGAGUCAGGUAG